CAGUUAAGAAUCUUGCGCAAUGGGCGAAGCUGACGCAGCGACGCGCGGUGGACGAUGAAGUCUUCGGAUUGUUAAAGUCCAGUAAGCAGGGACGAAUAAGCAGCGGGUAUAUUCGCUGUGAUGACGGUACCUGCCUAGAGCCCCGGGCUAACUACGUGCCAGCAGCCGCGGUAAUACGUAUGGGGCGAGCGUUGUUCGGAAUUAUUGGGCGUAAAGGGCGUGUAGGCGGGGAAUUAAGUUAGGUGUGAAAGCCAUGGGCUCAACUCAUGAAUUGCAUCUAAUACUGAUUCUCUUGAGUUAGGAGAGGAGAGCGGAAUUCCCGGUGUAGCGGUGAAAUGCGUAGAUAUCGGGAAGAACACCAGUGGCGAAGGCGGCUUUCUGGCCCAUAACUGACGCUGAGGCGCGAAAGCGUGGGGAGCGAACGGGAUUAGAUACCCCGGUAGUCCACGCUGUAAACGUUGUAUACUAGGUGUUAGUGGUUUAACUGCUAGUGCCGUAGUUAACGCAUUAAGUAUACCGCCUGGGGAGUACGCCCGCAAGGGUGAAACUCAAAGAAAUUGACGGGGGCCCGCACAAGCGGUGGAGCAUGUGGUUUAAUUCGACGAUACGCGAAGAACCUUACCUGGGCUUGAACUGUAUUUGACAGGUGUAGAGAUACACCCUCCUUCGGGCAGAUAUAGAGGUGCUGCAUGGUUGUCGUCAGCUCGUGUUGUGAGAUGUUGGGUUAAGUCCCGCAACGAGCGCAACCCCUACCCCUUGUUGCUACCAGGUAAUGCUGGGCACUCUAGGGGAACUGCCGGUGAUAAACCGGAGGAAGGUGGGGAUGACGUCAAAUCAGCACGGCCCUUAUGUCCAGGGCUACACACGUGCUACAAUGGCCGGUACAAUGAGUUGCGAUACCGCGAGGUGGAGCCAAUCUCAAAAAACCGGUCCCAGUUCGGAUUGCAGUCUGCAACUCGACUGCAUGAAGUUGGAAUCGCUAGUAAUCGUGGAUCAGCACGCCACGGUGAAUACGUUCCCGGGCCUUGUACACACCGCCCGUCACACCAUCCGAGUCGGCAGCGCCCAAAGUGGCUGAUCUAACCCCU
This 1088-nucleotide ribosomal RNA is filed under the name uncultured Spirochaeta sp. RNAcentral describes it as "bacterial SSU rRNA". It matches the Rfam family "Bacterial small subunit ribosomal RNA", at positions 352 to 1443 of the family's 1533-position model. Lineage: Bacteria; Pseudomonadati; Spirochaetota; Spirochaetia; Spirochaetales; Spirochaetaceae. The record is from RNAcentral.